Molecule: long non-coding RNA, 1042 nt
Filed under: Mus musculus (house mouse)
Lineage: Eukaryota; Metazoa; Chordata; Mammalia; Rodentia; Muridae
Description: long non-coding RNA chr10:120208792-120209834
Source: RNAcentral
AGUGUAGGCUCCCACUUCGGCCGGGGCAGGUGCGGGCGGGCACUGCUGGCGACAUGGCCGACACGGACCCGGGCUAUCCCCGCUCGUCCAUCGAGGAUGACUUCAACUACGGCAGCUGCGUGGCGUCGGCCAGCGUGCACAUCCGCAUGGGUAUGUGGCGGGGGUCAGGGGGACCAAGUGACCAGAGGGAGACAUAGUUGUCUUCUAGAGGUGUGGGCCGGGUCGCCUAGGUCAGCGGUCCUCAACCUGAGGGUCGCAAGCGGGACCCUUUCACAGGGGGUCGCCUAAGGCCAUCUGCACAUCAGAUAUUUACAUUACGAUUCGUGACAGUAGCAAAAUUACAGUUCUGGAGUAGGGACAGAUAUAAUUGCAUGUUUGGGGUCAGCACACCAGGAGGAUCCAUAUCAAGCAUUGGAAAUCACGGGCUGAUGCCCUCAUUUAUUUGUUCCCCGUGCUGAGACCUUACCAUCCUAGUCAUUACUGUCUCCCCGUGGGGUACAGAACUCGGCAUACGUGUGUGUGAUGACUGAGAAGUUUCCCAGACCGACGCAUAAAGUCACGGCGACUCAAAGUUAUUACUUUGAGUUUAGGCUGUUCGUUGACGCGUAACGAAGCGGAAUUCACUGUCCACCAAAGGUCACUUUACAGAAAUGGACCUGCCUGGGCAGCUCAAACCGGUUCUGGAUUUAAAAAAAAAAAAAAAAAAUGAAGGUGGUUCUGACGCAUCUAGAAUCUUGGUACUUACCUAGCCCGAUAUUCCUGUAAUGAAUUUUGAAAUUAUUUUGACAAGUGAGCUCAGCUUUUAAAAUAUAUUCAUUAUGAAAAAGUACUGGUAGCCAAAAAAUUGCUACCCUAGACACCUUUGAGGUACCAAGCAGUAAUGUUUUGUCGCCCUGUGGUAUUUCCUAUCCAGCCAGAACUUAGUCAUCUUUCAAAGCAAAAGUGAAAUUGUAUCCAUAAGUAACUCGCCAUUGCCAGCCUCCUCUGCCCUGGGCAACUCCCAUUUCUUCAGUCUUUAUGAAACGGUUAGAACUGCCUCAGU